AGGGAUUUAGCUUAGUGGCAUAAGUGUUUGCCUGGAAAGUAAAAGGUUGUGAGUUUGAUCCCCAGUACCCA
RNAcentral lists this transfer RNA (71 nucleotides) under Cavia porcellus (domestic guinea pig). It matches the Rfam family "tRNA". Rfam says of the family: Transfer RNA (tRNA) molecules are approximately 80 nucleotides in length. The record is from Rfam by way of RNAcentral. Lineage: Eukaryota; Metazoa; Chordata; Mammalia; Rodentia; Caviidae.